RNAcentral lists this ribosomal RNA (853 nucleotides) under uncultured archaeon. Its description in RNAcentral is "bacterial SSU rRNA". It matches the Rfam family "Archaeal small subunit ribosomal RNA", at positions 85 to 922 of the family's 1478-position model. The record is from RNAcentral.
ACGGCUCAGUAACACGUGGUCAACCUACCCUGCGGACAGCGACAACGUCGGGAAACUGACGAUAAACGCUGAUAAUAAAUGGGCUCUGGAAUGCCCCAUUAAUCAAAUACUUAGGAGACCAUGUUCUUCUUUGUGCCGUGGGAUGGGACUGCGUCCGAUCAGGUUGAUGGUGGGGUAAUGGCCUACCAUGCCUAUAACCGGUACGGGCCCUGAGAGGGGAAGCCCGGAGAUGGAUCCUGAGACAAGGAUCCAGGCCCUACGGGGCGCAGCAGGCGCGAAAUCUUCGCUAUGUGCGAAAGCAUGACGGGGUCACCUCGAGUGUCAGCCGCUGAGGUUGACUUUUCCUUAGUCCAAAAGGCUAGGGGAAUAAGGGGAGGGCAAGAUUGGUGUCAGCCGCCGCGGUAAUACCAACUCCCCGAGUGGUUGGGAUGUUUACUGGGCUUAAAGCGUCCGUAGCCGGUCUAAUAAGUCUUUCGUUAAAUCCAAUGUUUCAAGCGUUGGGCUGCGGGAGAUACUGUUAGACUUGGAAGUGGAAGAGGCCGUCGGUACCUUUUGGGGAGGGGUAAAAUCCUCAGAUCCUUAGGGGACCACCAGUGGCGAAGGCGGACGGCUAGAACACGUUCGACGGUGAGGGACGAAAGCUGGGGGAGCGAUUGGGAUUAGAUACCCCGGUAGUCCCAGCUGUAAACGAUGCAGGCUAGGUGUGUGAGUAGCUAUGAGUUGCUCAUGUGCCGUAGAGAAAUCGCUAAGCCUGCCGCCUGGGAAGUACGGUCGCAAGGCUGAAACUUAAAGGAAUUGGCGGGGGAGCACCACAAGGGGUGAAUCCUGCGGUUUAAUUGGAGUCAACGCCGGG